This 305-nucleotide ribosomal RNA is filed under the name uncultured bacterium. Its description in RNAcentral is "partial 16S ribosomal RNA". It matches the Rfam family "Bacterial small subunit ribosomal RNA", at positions 508 to 809 of the family's 1533-position model. The record is from RNAcentral.
ACAGCAGUCGCCGCGGUAAUACGGAGGGUGCGAGCGUUAAUCGGAAUUACUGGGCGUAAAGCGUACGCAGGCGGUUUGUUAAGUCAGAUGUGAAAUCCCCGAGCUUAACUCGGGAACUGCAUUUGAAACUGGCAGGCUAGAGUCUCGUAGAGGGGGGUAGAAUUCCAGGUGUAGCGGUGAACUGCGUAGAUAUUCGGAAGAACACCAGUGGCGAAGGCGGCCCGCUGGACAUGUAUUGACGCUGAGGUGCGAAAGCGUGGGGAGCAAACAGGAUUAGAUACCCCGGUAGUCCCUGUCUCUUAUAA